Molecule: long non-coding RNA, 835 nt
Filed under: Numida meleagris (helmeted guineafowl)
Lineage: Eukaryota; Metazoa; Chordata; Aves; Galliformes; Numididae
Description: lncRNA (ENSNMEG00000000750.1)
Source: RNAcentral
CUUUUUACACUGUCUGAUAGUGAUAGCACAAGAGGGAACAGCUUUGAACUAAAAGAGGGGCGAUUUACGUUGGAUGUUAGGUGGAGAUUCUUUACUCAGAGAGUGAUUUGGCACUGGAACAGGUUACCCAGAGAAGCUGUGGAUGCCCCAUUGCUGGAGGUGUUCAAGGCCAGGUCGAAUGGAGCCCUGGGCAUACUGAUCUCAUGAGUGGCAAUACUGCCCAUGGCUGGGUGGCUGGAACUAGAUGACAAGCUAAGCCAUUCUAUGAUUCUCUGACUUAACAAGAAGGUGUCCAAUAGAAGGUCUAGGGAGUAAGGUCACUAAGGUUGCACCCAUUCAGUUCCAACUGAAAAGUUACCAGAGGCACUGGUUUAAGUUCAGCCACAGCUGAACUUAAAAAUUGGAGUAGCACAGCUGAAGGGAGACAAGAGUGGAGCAGUCCUGGAGGGGCCUGUGUUACAGGGCAAACAUGCAAUGCUGCAGUUUCCUCUUGACCUUCCAGCCUGUUUAUGUCACUUGAUGUAGUCACCUGUGUUUGGGAGCAGUGUGGAGCUACUGCAUCCAACAAAGAGCAUCAAGAAACAUCAUGACCCUACACACAAUCCACUGCAGGACCAAGCCACCAAUUCUGCACAGCCACCAGUGCUGUCUGGGAUUCAGGAAAACUGAGAAAUCUGAAAAGGCUGAAACUGUUGCCCUGAGGGAGAGGAAAAUGCCCCAGAAGACCAGGAACCCUUCCAUCUAUGCUAAGAGAAUACUUAUUAAAUUAAACAUCUCAUGCCUGCGUAGCAGCAGCUUGUAUCUCUUAAUGUGCAAAAUCCCUGCACAAAGUUAG